This 253-nucleotide ribosomal RNA is filed under the name uncultured bacterium. Its description in RNAcentral is "partial 16S ribosomal RNA". It matches the Rfam family "Bacterial small subunit ribosomal RNA", at positions 524 to 776 of the family's 1533-position model. The record is from RNAcentral.
GACGUAGGGGACGAGCGUUGUCCGGAUUCAUUGGGCGUAAAGCGCGCGCAGGCGGCCGUGUAAGUCGGGUGUGAAAUCCCGGAGCUCAACUCCGGAACUGCACUCGAAACUGCACGGCUCGAGGUAGGUAGGGGAGAUCGGAAUUCCUGGUGUAGCGGUGGAAUGCGCAGAUAUCAGGAGGAACACCGGUGGCGAAGGCGGAUCUCUGGGCCUUACCUGACGCUCAGGCGCGAAAGCUAGGGGAGCGAACAGG